UACGGAGGAUGCAAGCGUUAUCCGGAAUGAUUGGGCGUAAAGCGUCCGCAGGUGGCUGUGUAAGUCUGCUGUUAAAUAGUGAGGCUCAACCUCAUAAAGGCAGUGGAAACUACACGGCUAGAGUGCGUUCGGGGCAGAGGGAGUUCCUGGUGUAGCGGUGAAAUGCGUAGAGAUCAGGAAGAACACCGGUGGCGAAAGCGCUCUGCUAGGCCGCAACUGACACUGAGGGACGAAAGCUAGGGGAGCGAAUGGG
RNAcentral lists this ribosomal RNA (253 nucleotides) under uncultured bacterium. RNAcentral's name for it is "partial 16S ribosomal RNA". It matches the Rfam family "Bacterial small subunit ribosomal RNA", at positions 524 to 776 of the family's 1533-position model. The record is from RNAcentral.